This is a long non-coding RNA of Trachemys scripta elegans, 442 nucleotides long. RefSeq lists it as uncharacterized. Lineage: Eukaryota; Metazoa; Chordata; Testudines; Emydidae. The record is from RefSeq and is a predicted model, not a curated record. The transcript has 3 exons.
CGAACAGUGCUGCAGAAAAUUCAAAUAUUGUUCGGUGCAGUGUCAGGCCACCUCCAUAUCAGAAAGCUGAAGACAAACAGGAGGGAAUUCAGUGAGAACGAGAAGAAUAAUUAAACAUCUGUACAGAAUGACCAGCUGUACGGAAGAUGAUUCGAAGUAAACUAUACUUGGAAACACCAGUGCCACAGAGCAACUAGCGAUGUUGGGUGACCUUCCACAACGGAUUGGCAAAUUCCUUCAACACAAGUUUGUGAAUCUGUGCCCACAGAAUGAAGCCAUCGAUCACCUUUUAGAAGGUAAUCAACUUUUGCAGGAGAACUUGGAGAAAGAUGACUUGAAAAAUAAGGCGGGAAAGAGCAUUCUAAAAGAGCUUGUGUGAUACAUGAAGAGAGAGGGGACUCGCUCCCUUUGAUGGACACCCAGCCAGCCAGUUAGCUGUAAA